RNAcentral lists this long non-coding RNA (2562 nucleotides) under Sus scrofa (pig). Its description in RNAcentral is "lncRNA (ENSSSCG00025075986.1)". The record is from RNAcentral. Lineage: Eukaryota; Metazoa; Chordata; Mammalia; Artiodactyla; Suidae.
GGGGAGGAGGAGCUGAGGGCUCAGGAAGCGCGAGCGUCACGUAGCCGCCAGAGCGCCCCUCCCCGCCCCCCCCAAUCCCGCGGGACCGGCGCUCCGCGAAGGGGAACCGGUGGCUGGGGGCCAGAUCCAAGCCUCCUCAUCUGUGACCCACGCCACAGCUCAUGGCAGCACUGGAUCCUUAACCCACUGAGCCAGGCCAGGGAUCAAACCUGCUUCCUCACAGAUACUAGGUGGUCUGGAGCUCUUUCUCAUCAUGGCGUCUUGGAGCAUGACAUUGCCACCUUCUCCAUCCACCAGCAUCCAGAAGGAAUUCCCACUGUGGUGCUAGAUCGGUGGCAUCGUCGCAGGACCAGGACAUGAGCUGUGGUGGAAUUAUUACCCGUUGGAUGUCACAUUGCUACAAAAUUUUGACAGCUUCAAUGGAGUCAGGCUGCCUGUUGUUUUUUCUCGAGAGGCAGGGGUCUGGACCCAGCCAUCUUCUCUGGUGAACACUGAGCCGGUAAUGUAUUUUUAUCUUUUUUUAUUUCCAUUAUAGCUGAUUUAUAGUGCUCUAUUUCUCUUUAAUAGCAAAGUGAUCCAGUCGUACAUGUAUAUAUAUAUCAUUUUUCCCACUUCUUCCAACUUGUUCCAAGAAAAAGUGACUAGAUAUAGUGCCCUGUGCUAUAGAGCAGGAUCUCACUGCUUACCCACUCCAAGUACUAGAGUUUGCAUCUAUGAACCUCCAAAUCCCACACCUUCCCACCCUCCCCCUCCAAUCUGGCAACUACAAGUAUGUUUUCGAGUCCAAGAUUUUCUUUUAGGUAUAAAGGUUCAUUUGUGCUAUUUGUUAGAUUCCAGAUCCAAGGGUAUCCUAUGGUAUUGUUUUUCAUUUUCUGACUUAUUUCACCUCAUAUGAGAGUUUUUAGUUCCCUUGAUGUGGCUGUGAAUGUCCUUUUUGGAUUUUUAGGUUGCGUAUUAUUCCAUUGUAUAUAUGUACAACGUCUUCUUAAUCCAUCCAUCUGUUGAUGGACAUCGAGUUUGUUUCCAUGUCUUGGCUGUUGUGAAUAUUGCUGCGAGAAACAGAGCUGCACAAUUAUCUUUUAAAAAGAAUAUUCGUCCUGGUGUAUGCCCAACAAAGGGAUUGCUGGGUCAUGCAUUUGUUCUGUAUGUAACUUUGGGUUUACCUUGAUUGUGUUGUCCAAGGUAUUUGUACCAAUUUGCAUACCCCCUCUCCCUGUAGGAGGGCACCCUCUUCUCAACACCCUCUCCAGGAUUUGUUAUUUGUAGACUUACUAAGGAUGGCCAUUGGGACAGGUGUGUGGUGGUACUUCAGCGUCAUCGUGAUUUGCAUUUUUCUCCUAAUGAGUCAUGGUGAUUCUUUUUCCCUGGUGCUUGUUGCCCCCUGUAUAUCCAGUUUAGGGAAAUUUUGCUGCGUCCAGCACUUCAGGGAAAUGGGGUAUCCUGGAAGAGGGAUGGUGCUGUUAUAACAAAACACGCAAGACUACUUUACAUCUAGAAAUCGGGGGACCAGGAGGCACUCUGUUCCUAGAACAGAGGCACCUAGGCUUUAGCCCUCAUGACUUUUAUUAAGGAAGGUGAUGAGAUUAGUGGGGAAGGUGAGGGAGAUUAGUAUUAGUGGAAUUAAGACAGGUGACAAGAACAGGCACAGGCAAGGGAGGUUAUCUUCUUAGUGAUAUCAAAGGGGGUGCCCUUAGGAUGUAGUGCAGUUGUUUAUAAUAGAGUACCUUGACUAUCUCGUGUUUGAAGGAGACCCUGUACUUCAGAAUGCUGCAUUCACAGAUAUUUGUCUUCUGCAGAGUUCAGCUGUUCAGUGGUCUCCAAUAUCUCCCCCCCACCCUUUUUUUUGUUUGUUGCAUAAGAACAGUCUUAGUACAUUUUGAUUGCAGCGUGUUCAUUAGAUUUCUAUGGAUCAAUCCGAUUGUGCAGACCACGUCCGUGGCAGGUCUCCAAGAUGAACAGGUACAUUCGAGGGGUGUGGGUCUGUCUCCAUCCUCGUGGGAACCUAUCAUUCCAGCCCUUUUUUUUAUGGGGUAGGGGCAGCAGUCCUCUCUUCUGUAGCUGCUUCCUGCUCGUUAGGAGUGACGAGUACUGGAUGGCUGGAUGUGGUAGGUUCCCACUACAGAUGAUGGGAAGAAAAGAAAAAUAAGAUUUAACAGAGGUUUGGAAUUUAGGUUGAUACAGGUACUAUUGAAGGAGGAGUGUAGUUUUAUCUCAGCAGGUUUAAAUGUUUGAUGUGGUAUUUAAGACAUAAAUAACAGGAGCUGUUGGUCCUUAGACAUGUUUCCUCCUUUCUGUUGUUAUAAGAGGAGACCUUGGAGGAGACCUUGGACUAGGGACCAUGAGGUUGCGGGUUCGAUCCCUAGCCUUGCUCAGUGGGUUAAGGAUCAGGUGUUGCCAUGAGCUGUGGUGUGGUGCAGACGCAGCUCAGAUCUGGAGUUGCUGUGGCUCUGGUGAAGGCCAGCCGCUACAGCUCCGAUUAGACCCCUCACCUGGGAACCUCCAUAUGCUGAGGGUGCGGCCCAAAAAGAAAGACAAAAAAGACCAAAAAAAAAAAAAAAAAAA